GAUGAACGCUGGCGGCGUGCUUAACACAUGCAAGUCGAACGGAAAGGCUCCUGCUUGCAGGGGUACUCGAGUGGCGAACGGGUGAGUAACACGUGGGUGAUCUGCCCAGCACUUCGGGAUAAGCCUGGGAAACUGGGUCUAAUACCGGAUAGGACGAUGGUUUGGAUGCCAUUGUGGAAAGUUUUUUCGGUGUGGGAUGAGCUCGCGGCCUAUCAGCUUGUUGGUGGGGUAAUGGCCUACCAAGGCGUCGACGGGUAGCCGGCCUGGGAGGGUGUACGGCCACAUUGGGACUGAGAUACGGCCCAGACUCCUACGGGAGGCAGCAGUGGGGAAUAUUGCACAAUGGGCGCAAGCCUGAUGCAGCGACGCCGCGUGGGGGAUGACGGCCUUCGGGUUGUAAACUGCUUUCGCUAGGGACGAAGCGCGAGUGACGGUACCUGGAGAAGAAGCACCGGCUAACUACGUG
Molecule: ribosomal RNA, 466 nt
Filed under: uncultured bacterium
Lineage: Bacteria
Description: partial 16S ribosomal RNA
Rfam family: Bacterial small subunit ribosomal RNA
Source: RNAcentral